RNAcentral lists this ribosomal RNA (464 nucleotides) under uncultured bacterium. RNAcentral's name for it is "partial 16S ribosomal RNA". It matches the Rfam family "Bacterial small subunit ribosomal RNA", at positions 339 to 795 of the family's 1533-position model. The record is from RNAcentral.
CUACGGGUGGCUGCAGUGGGGAAUAUUGCACAAUGGGCGCAAGCCUGAUGCAGCCAUGCCGCGUGUAUGAAGAAGGCCUUCGGGUUGUAAAGUACUUUCAGCGGGGAGGAAGGGAGUAAAGUUAAUACCUUUGCUCAUUGACGUUACCCGCAGAAGAAGCACCGGCUAACCCCGUGCCAGCAGCCGCGGUAAUACGGAGGGUGCAAGCGUUAAUCGGAAUUACUGGGCGUAAAGCGCAAGCAGGCGGUUUGUUAAGUCAGAUGUGAAAUCCCCGGGCUCAACCUGGGAACUGCAUCUGAUACUGGCAAGCUUGAGUCUCGUAGAGGGGGGUAGAAUUCCAGGUGUAGCGGUGAAAUGCGUAGAGAUCUGGAGGAAUACCGGUGGCGAAGGCGGCCCCCUGGACGAAGACUGACGCUCAGGUGCGAAAGCGUGGGGAGCAAACAGGAUUAGAUACCCGGGUAGUC